This 504-nucleotide ribosomal RNA is filed under the name uncultured bacterium. RNAcentral's name for it is "bacterial SSU rRNA". It matches the Rfam family "Bacterial small subunit ribosomal RNA", at positions 28 to 524 of the family's 1533-position model. The record is from RNAcentral.
GAUGAACGCUAGCGACAGGCCUAACACAUGCAAGUCGAGGGACAGCAUAAAGGUAGCAAUACUUUGGUGGCGACCGGCGCACGGGUGAGUAACACGUAUGCAACCUACCUGUAAGAGGGGAAUAACCCGGAGAAAUUCGGACUAAUACCGCAUAAUACUGAUUAUCUGCAUGGAUUGAUCAGUUAAACAUUUAUGGCUUACAGAUGGGCAUGCGUAUGAUUAGAUAGUUGGUAGGGUAACGGCCUACCAAGUCAACGAUCAUUAGGGGUUCUGAGAGGAAGGUCCCCCACACUGGUACUGAGACACGGACCAGACUCCUACGGGAGGCAGCAGUGAGGAAUAUUGGUCAAUGGGCGAGAGCCUGAACCAGCCAAGUCGCGUGAAGGAAGAAGGUUCUAUGGAUUGUAAACUUCUUUUGUAAGGGAAUAAAAGAGUUACGUGUAACUUAUUGUAUGUACUUUACGAAUAAGGAUCGGCUAACUCCGUGCCAGCAGCCGCGGUAAA